AGAUGUGAGGGUCAUCUGGCUGUGGCAUCUGUCACCCCAUGGAUGGCUAGAGUAGAUUUGCUGAUCUGGAUGGCUAGACCUGUCUCCUUCAUUCACAGCUCCAUCUAGGUCCCUCUCAAAGCUGCAUGGUUGUUGGAAGCUGAUGGCCUUCCCGAUAGAGGAGUACCAGUCGUUGGUCAAGGACGAUCAGGGCAUGUGAUUAGUUGCACUCCCCUGCUAGAGCUUCCAAGGGAAGCACUCAAGGGAACAGGUUAUGUGACAACAGGUUGGCUGGAGAGAGGUACCAGGGACAUCAGGACUUGUGGCUUGAAACAGACCUGGGAAGGGAUGGUCCAGUGACACUUGAUUUCAAAUGUCACCUUCC
Molecule: small nuclear RNA, 364 nt
Filed under: Mesocricetus auratus (golden hamster)
Lineage: Eukaryota; Metazoa; Chordata; Mammalia; Rodentia; Cricetidae
Description: 7SK RNA (ENSMAUG00000003630.1)
Rfam family: 7SK RNA (bases 1-268)
About the family: 7SK was discovered as an abundant small nuclear RNA in the mid-70s but a possible function has only recently been suggested.
Source: RNAcentral